This 329-nucleotide ribosomal RNA is filed under the name uncultured eukaryote. RNAcentral's name for it is "partial 18S ribosomal RNA". It matches the Rfam family "Eukaryotic small subunit ribosomal RNA", at positions 1470 to 1796 of the family's 1831-position model. The record is from RNAcentral.
CCCUUAGAUGUUCUGGGCUGCACGCGCGCUACACUGAUGCACUCAACGAGUUUACGACCUUGCCCGAUAGGGUUGGGUAAUCUUUUUAAAAUGCAUCGUGAUGGGGAUAGAUUAUUGCAAUUAUUAAUCUUCAACGAGGAAUUCCUAGUAAGCGCGAGUCAUCAGCUCGUGCUGAUUACGUCCCUGCCCUUUGUACACACCGCCCGUCGCUACUACCGAUUGAAUGGCUUAGUGAGGCUUCCGGAUUGGUUUAGAGAAGGGGGCAACUCCAUCUUGGAACCGAGAAGCUAGUCAAACUUGGUCAUUUAGAGGAAGUAAAAGUCGUAACA